GUGAUUUUAUAAGGGGAAACCCCUUUCAUUUGGCUUUCAGUCUCUCCUAGCCUACUGUGAUGGAAGAUGUGGCUUUGUUCCUCCUCAGCUUCCGCCAAGAUUGUGAGGCCUCCCCAGCCAUGUGGAACUGUGCUCGCCCAGCCUCUGUUUGGUACUUGCAGUGCUUCCAGCUCAUCACCUCCCAAGACGCCCCAUUAUGAGAAGCUCUGACACCUCCACGAUUUACAGACUGGAACAGACUCCCAGGAGGUCCAUUCAUCCAUUCUGCUGCCCCCUCAAAUUCAUGCUGCUCAGAGUAGGACGUGAACCACUCUGGUUAGACAUAAAGACCAAGCUAAGGCCACAGAAGGAGCCAAAGAAGGCAGCAUUAACGCAGAGGAAAGAAGGUGAGUUUGUUUUGAUGGAAAUGCUGGGUCCACUCAGGCAAAGCAGAGGCUCCUCAAACUGGUUCCCUGCGGGUCUCCCAUUCAAAUGGAAUGCAUUUUCUUGGCGCACCCACUGUGGCACAGUGCCAAGCACUGCAGGGGAUGCCACCUAACACAAAUUCAUUUGGAUUCUCCAAAUGAAUCCUCGAAGUGGAUGGUGCUCCUUCCACGUUGCAGAUGAGGAAAGUGAGGCCCUGUUCGGAUCUUCUGUCUCUCGGUGUAGAUUUCUUCAUAGCUUUACUGUUUUUGUCUCCUUCCUGGGCCACUGUGUUCUGAGUCACCAAAAGAGACACCACGGUAGGCUCAAUGGAUCAUGUCCAAAGCUACCAACCGC
Molecule: long non-coding RNA, 759 nt
Filed under: Callithrix jacchus (white-tufted-ear marmoset)
Lineage: Eukaryota; Metazoa; Chordata; Mammalia; Primates; Cebidae
Description: lncRNA (ENSCJAG00000079864.1)
Source: RNAcentral